RNAcentral lists this non-coding RNA (31 nucleotides) under Mus musculus (house mouse). Lineage: Eukaryota; Metazoa; Chordata; Mammalia; Rodentia; Muridae. The record is from RNAcentral.
UGUUAUUUCCUACACAGACACUCUUGUUGAC